AUUUAAAGCUCUACCCCUCCCAAAAUGACUCUUAUUUUUAAAGAGCAUUGCCUUUUGUUUUAGCCUCUUUCUGUGAAAGUUUUAUGACCCUCCCCACCCUCACCCCAGGAACUCAACAGGGGCCACUCUUUGUAGUGGAGGGUGAGGGUCCAGGGUUGGGUCCAGGCCUCAGCUCCCUCCUCUGACUUCCUACCAGAACACCAGGCUGGCUUCGAAGGGCUUCAGGCAGAGGAGUGUGGCAUCCUGAACGGCUGUGAGAACGGCCGCUGUGUGCGUGUGCGGGAGGGCUACACCUGUGACUGCUUCGAGGGCUUCCAGCUGGACAUGGCCCACAUGGCCUGUGUGGAUGUGAAUGAGUGUGAUGACUUGAACGGGCCUGCUGCACUCUGUGCCCAUGGUCACUGCGAGAACACGGAGGGCUCCUACCGCUGCCACUGCUCCCCCGGUUAUGUGGCCGAGGCAGGGCCCCCCCACUGCACGGCCCAAGGAGUAGCAGUGAGGGGUCAGCGUCGGCAGCUACCUGGAAAUGGGCCUGAGGCAGGGGCCUUGAGGACGCUUUCCUAGCUGGGAAGAUACCAUGAAGUCAUCGGGCAGGAGGCCCUGCAGCCCCACUCCCAGCCAGCCUUGCCUGCUUUUCAUCUCUCCCAGUUUAGGCUCGGGCUGUGAGCUUGUCACUGACUCCAUGCCACCAUGCCCUUGCUUGGCUCAAACACCACCAAAUGCUUUAAUGCUUCAGCCACUGGCCACAAGGCCCAGUCCGCCAUCUGUCCUGGCCUGACUAUGAGACGCUUACCAAAGGAUGGCCCUCAUCCUCCCCCGCAAGCUGUGCAAACGUGCAAGGUCCUUUGGCCUUACACCGCACCUUUUCCAGCCACGAUCCACCUAUCAUCCUGAUGACUGCAAAACUGGGUCCGAGGCUACACCUGUCUUAGGAUGGGCCUUCAGAAUCUGUGGAGCACAAAUGGAUUGGAGGAAGUUUGGGGAGUGACUCCAACGCCUCCUACCAAGAACCAUCACUGCCACUUAGCCAGUCUGGUCUGGACCAGAUUUUGCCACAUCAUCUUAUAGUCACUUCUGUGGCCCCUGGGAGGAGCAGAAGAUCCCCUCAUCUCAGAAAAGCAAGACUGAUACCAGCUUGCUGAGUGUAAGAGACACAAAUGAAGGGGAGCAAGAAGACUGAGAAAGCAAGAGGGAAAUAUUAAAAAUAUAGGGAAUUGAGAAAAAGAAAAGGGGUGGGGAGCCAGGGCUUCACACAAAUCUAAAGAAAAUAUUCAGUUGCUUUGAGUAAAUAUUCAAAAUGUACCCAGCGGUAGCUCCUUUACACAAGACAGGGUGCCCGUCUCGGAAGACCUGCUCCUUACAGGAAACACCUUUCUCCUGGGCUCUCCUUUUGUGGGCACCAGUUUGAGUGUUAAAAAUAAAGAGGUCUAUUUUCUAGCUUGUGGGAUACACGUAGUCCUGUUUGGGGGGAAGCCAGAUUUCCUGUUGUUUCUCCUCUCUUCUCAGAAGCCUCUGCCCUCUCAACCUUCAUAAAAUGGCUGGCUGGCAUCCCUCUGAGUUCACAAGGAAAGACCCACUCCAACCUUGGCUAGCUGGGAAUUUAGUUAGAAUACAGGAAUGUACAUCCGGGCUCUUCACUGUUGUUUCACAUGAAACCACAUUUCUUUACCAUGUUGGCUAAGUCUAAGUAUUAGCGAGGAGGCUGUGCCUACCUCUCGCCAGCUCUGCCAGUAGCCUGUGAUGGGGUUCCAGUGGGAAAAGGUUCUUUACUCUUCUGAGACGAGAAAGCUCUGACGUUGUAUUCCUCGAAUGAACUGCAAUGUAAAUGAGCAAGGCUCCCUGUGCCUGGAGACAUGGAAAUGAAUACUAUUUUCUUAAUUUAAUCUGUCCUGUCCUACCUGCUGCUCUGAUCGUCAGCCAUCACAUAACUUAUUGAAUGCUUGCUCUGUGCUAGGCAAUGUUGAGUGCUAUACCCAAAUUUCAUUUAAUUAUCCAACAAUCCAAUUUACUAUUUUUAUUCCCAACUUAGAAAUGGAAGUAUUCUGACCCUCACUCACAAUAAAAAAAAUGCAAGUGAAACCACCCUGAGACGCUCUUGUCGGUUGGCAAGCACCUGGGGAAAGAGGCACAUGCAUAGCUGACAGAAGUAUGAAGUGAUACAGCUUCUGAAAGGAUAUGGAAAUGUCUUUCAAUAUUAUAAAAGCACUUACUCUUUGAAUCAAUAAUUCCACUUCUAGGAAUUUAAUCUUCAGCUAUUUUUCUCACCAAAUGUGAAAUGACAUGUGUUAGAGGUUAUGGUAUAGCAUUAUUUGUAAUAGCAAAAGAUUAGAAACAAUUACUAUUAAUUGCUAUGGAGCCCUAAAAAGAAAAAGUGGCUCUAAAUGCCUUGAUAGGAUAUCCAAAAUAGAUGAAGGGGAAAGGUGGGUUGUAUAGCAAAGUGUAACACAUGCUGCUACUUGUCUAAAGAAAGGGGAGAAUUGGGUAUUCGCUAACUCCAUCUUACACUCCAUAUUUCAGAGAAUGUCACCAUUCCUCAAUAUACCCUGCUGGCACUGCACUUCCUUAAGUGCUGUUCCCAUUGCCCCUCCUCCUAACUCUCACCACCCUGCUUGCCCUUCCAGAGAUAUUUCAUGCAUAUACACACAUUUCUAUGUACUAAAAACACAAACAGCAUGCUAUGCAUGCUGUCCUACACUUGCUUUUUUCACUUAAUUAUAAGUUUUCUCUCUUGGGCCGCGACCAGCACGGCUAGAGAGCGGACGAGUCCUGAGUAGGGACGGCUGGGGAUUGAGAAAAGGAAAAAAAGAGACAGACACAAAGACUUUAAGUAAAGCUGGGACCAGGUGGGACGCUGCCCUCAGAUGGAGACACAGUGACCCAGAGCUAGUGCAGGGCGUUUAUUAUAUACAGCAUGAUACCGGGAAGUUUUACUAGAGUUUAAGACAAAGGAAAUUAUGUGAAAUCAUGGUUAAAGAUCAAGCAGCAAUUCUUCAUUCUUGUGACUUCUUUGUAAUUGUCACUCCUGGCUGAGCCCAGAUAAUUGCAUCCGUUCCUGGUGCCUGGCUGAACUUAAAUAAUGAAACCCACCCCCUGGUGCCUGAGCUAAAGGUCAGGCUGACAACAUACCUGCCUCUGGCAAGGUAUGUUUCCAGGACGUGGCUCUGCUGACACCACGGGACUCAGAUGACAAUCAGCUCAUGCGCCUUCCCAGGCGCUCUCUACACUUAAUACAUGCUUGCACAUACGAGCUCUCUCAUCCUGUUUUGUAAGUGUAUACUAUUCCAUUGAAUGGAUAAAUCAUAAUUUAUUUCAUCAGUCCCCUACUGGUGGACAUUUCCAUUGUUUUCUAACUUUUGCUAUUAAAAACAAUGCUAUAAUGAUUAUUCUUGUGCAAAUGUUAUUUCAUAUUAUUUCUAUGGAUUAUAUACCUGUGGGCUAAAUUCUUAGAAACAAUGGUAACUUGUGGGGAGGAUGACAGGGUGGAUGGGUACAGUAUUGGAACACUUUUUCAUUGUAUCCCCUUUUGUGUCUCUUGGAAUUUUGUACCAUAUGUAUUACCUAUUCAAAAAAAUAAAAUAUUUUUAAAUACA
This is a long non-coding RNA of Myotis lucifugus (little brown bat), 3590 nucleotides long. RefSeq lists it as uncharacterized. The record is from RefSeq and is a predicted model, not a curated record. The transcript is spliced from 2 exons. Lineage: Eukaryota; Metazoa; Chordata; Mammalia; Chiroptera; Vespertilionidae.